GUAUUGCGUGAUGGAUCCCUGCUCGGGCAGCGACAUCAUYGCAUCCACGCCUCUUCAUUUGUUGGCGCGGGCAUGUGCCCGCCCGGUGUUGGUUUUCCUGUGCUGGAUACCCGUGUAACGUGGCAUCGAACGCCGGUUAAAUUGUCCCUCAGCCACCGACCGUCAUUGCUGGCCUCGAAAGCGGGCAAUCGGCGCGGGGUGGCCCUUAUAGCGCACGCCGUGUGUCCCAUCCCGUUGACCCCGUAAGAAGGGCGUGCGGGCUGACGAUCCACKGCUUGAUGCUCGGUCCCYUGGGUAUGGAACGUCGCGUGGGGUACGGGGCCGUCGGCCUCGGAGCACCACAAACAAGCGUUGCGAACGACCGUCGGCCCGGUCUCUGGCUGGCCCUCGUGGCUCGGCUCAGGGCCGUGCCGGCGUCGAUGAGGAAUGCUACCU
RNAcentral lists this unclassified non-coding RNA (435 nucleotides) under Cunila origanoides (common dittany). Its description in RNAcentral is "partial external transcribed spacer". The record is from RNAcentral. Lineage: Eukaryota; Viridiplantae; Streptophyta; Magnoliopsida; Lamiales; Lamiaceae.